UGGGGAAUAUUGCACAAUGGGCGAAAGCCUGAUGCAGCAACGCCGCGUGAAGGAGGAAGGCCUUCGGGUCGUAAACUUCUGUCCUUGAGGAAGAAGAACUGACGGUACUCAAGGAGGAAGCCCCGGCUAACUACGUGCCAGCAGCCGCGGUAAUACGUAGGGGGCAAGCGUUAUCCGGAAUUAUUGGGCGUAAAGAGUGCGUAGGUGGUUACCUAAGCGCAGGGUAUAAGGCAAUGGCUCAACCAUUGUUCGCCCUGCGAACUGGGCUACUUGAGUGCAGGAGAGGAAAGCGGAAUUCCUAGUGUAGCGGUGAAAUGCGUAGAUAUUAGGAGGAACACCAGUGGCGAAGGCGGCUUUCUGGACUGUAACUGACACUGAGGCACGAAAGCGUGGGGAGCAAACA
This 403-nucleotide ribosomal RNA is filed under the name uncultured bacterium. RNAcentral describes it as "bacterial SSU rRNA". It matches the Rfam family "Bacterial small subunit ribosomal RNA", at positions 355 to 774 of the family's 1533-position model. The record is from RNAcentral.